This 883-nucleotide ribosomal RNA is filed under the name uncultured bacterium. RNAcentral describes it as "bacterial SSU rRNA". It matches the Rfam family "Bacterial small subunit ribosomal RNA", at positions 8 to 916 of the family's 1533-position model. The record is from RNAcentral.
AGAGUUUGAUCCUGGCUCAGGACGAACGCUGGCGGCGUGCCUAACACAUGCAAGUCGAGCGGGGAACUUCGGUUCUCAGCGGCGGACGGGUGAGUAACACGUGGGUAACCUGCCUUGUAGAGGGGGAUAGCCUUCCGAAAGGAAGAUUAAUACCGCAUAACAUUAUGCUUUCGCAUGAGAGUAUAAUCAAAGGAGCAAUCCGCUACAAGAUGGACCCGCGGCGCAUUAGCUAGUUGGUGAGGUAACGGCUCACCAAGGCGACGAUGCGUAGCCGGCCUGAGAGGGUGAACGGCCACAUUGGAACUGAGACACGGUCCAGACUCCUACGGGAGGCAGCAGUGGGGAAUAUUGCACAAUGGGCGAAAGCCUGAUGCAGCAACGCCGCGUGAGUGAUGAAGGCCUUCGGGUUGUAAAGCUCUGUCUUCUGGGACGAUAAUGACGGUACCAGAGGAGGAAGCCACGGCUAACUACGUGCCAGCAGCCGCGGUAAUACGUAGGUGGCAAGCGUUGUCCGGAUUUACUGGGCGUAAAGGAUGCGUAGGCGGAUGCUUAAGUCAGAUGUGAAAAUCCCGGGCUUAACUUGGGAACUGCAUUUGAAACUGGGUAUCUAGAGUACGGGAGAGGAGAGUGGUAUUCCUAGUGUAGCGGUGAAAUGCGUAGAGAUUAGGAAGAACACCAGUGGCGAAGGCGACUCUCUGGACCGUAACUGACGCUGAGGCAUGAAAGCGUGGGGAGCAAACAGGAUUAGAUACCCUGGUAGUCCACGCCGUAAACUAUGAAUACUAGGUGUGGGAGUUGUCAUGACUUCCGUGCCGCAGUUAACACAAUAAGUAUUCCGCCUGGGGAGUACGGUCGCAAGAUUAAAACUCAAAUGAAUUGACGG